Molecule: ribosomal RNA, 301 nt
Filed under: uncultured bacterium
Lineage: Bacteria
Description: partial 16S ribosomal RNA
Rfam family: Bacterial small subunit ribosomal RNA
Source: RNAcentral
CAGCCGCCGCGGUAAUACGUAGGGUGCAAGCGUUAAUCGGAAUUACUGGGCGUAAAGCGUGCGCAGGCGGUUUUGUAAGUUUGUCGUGAAAGCCCCGGGCUCAACCUGGGAAUUGCGAUGAAGACUGCAAGGCUUGAAUCUGGCAGAGGGGGGUAGAAUUCCACGUGUAGCAGUGAAAUGCGUAGAGAUGUGGAGGAACACCGAUGGCGAAGGCAGCCCCCUGGGUCAAGAUUGACGCUCAUGCACGAAAGCGUGGGGAGCAAACAGGAUUAGAUACCCCUUAGUCCCUGUCUCUUAUACA